This 513-nucleotide long non-coding RNA is filed under the name Mytilus galloprovincialis (Mediterranean mussel). Lineage: Eukaryota; Metazoa; Mollusca; Bivalvia; Mytilida; Mytilidae. The record is from RNAcentral.
CCCAAUCAGGAAUAUAUAUGGUUUAGGGGUGGGGAUCUGGAUCGGUUACAAGAUAUAAGCAUAUUCUCAAAUUGAAGGGGGUGGGGAUGAACUCCCAGGGACUCCCCCUAUAUUUCAUGUGAUUUGUUUUAUUGUCCUAUAAUCAUUUCUGAAGACUGCAUGUAUCUACCACUUACAGUUUUCAAGUUAUAUUCAUUUGAAAUUUUUAGAAAAUAAAAUCCCAUAGGGUUCUAUAGUAAAACCCUCCCUUCUUUAUACCCCCCAAAAUAGCCCUUAAUAGACCCCAAUGCACAAACGAAAGAUUGAUGGCUCAUCUAGACAUAUUAGUCUACCAUUUUACGAAAUCCUAAGUCAAUCUGACAAGCGGUUUUGGAGAAACGCUGCGGACAAGUUCAUUUUUUAAAGUGGCGGAAGAGGAAGAGGAAGAGGAAGAGGAAGAAGAAUAAUAAAAAUAAUAAGAACUGACCAAAAACAAUAAGUCUCCAAACUUUGUUUGGGAGACUUAAUAAAGUA